This 654-nucleotide long non-coding RNA is filed under the name Bos taurus (domestic cattle). RNAcentral's name for it is "long non-coding RNA NONBTAT021806". Lineage: Eukaryota; Metazoa; Chordata; Mammalia; Artiodactyla; Bovidae. The record is from RNAcentral.
CUCAGCUAUCACAUAUCACAAAGAACGAACUAGUAUUUUAAGGAUUUCACUCCUACCCAUAUAUCCAUGAUAUCUUAUUUAAUAAACUGGUCGUGUGAUGAAAAUAUACAUUAAUUAAAGUACAGCCAUAUAAUUAACACUACACAGAUGAAUUUUAACAGCUUUCAAAAUUUCAAUGUAUCAACUCCUUGAUUAAAAGAGAAUUUUGAGUAGAAAAUAUAAAUUUGGGGCCAGAUACACAAAGGGACCCUCAUACUGCAGAUUAUGUACAAAUUAGCAUUUUGAGGCUCACAAUAAAGCAGAAAAAUCAUGAGAAGUUAUCUCAACCAAUGCUGAGCAGUGAGCACAUAUAAAAGGAACGGUUGCUCUAAGUGUGUUGCUGGAAACAAAAAAGUGGAGCCAUGAAUCAAAUAUCACAGUGGACUCUAUAACACAGGGAAGCAGGGCAAAUCUCCUGUGGGGGAAAAAAAAUCUCAUCAAUUUAGGCCUCGAUAUUCCCUUGAAUUUGUGAUCAAUUGUAUAUGAGUUCAAAAUCAAGAAUCAACUAAUAUACAAUCAAGAAAAAUAUUAUGAAUGAGAAUUAACUAGACUACUCAAUACUUUGGAUAUUAAAGGUAUCUGAAAUGUGUGUAAAUGCAUUCCUUUGAAUGGAUG